GACGAACGCUGGCGGCGUGCUUAACACAUGCAAGUCGAACGGUGAAGCCCAGCUUGCUGGGUGGAUCAGUGGCGAACGGGUGAGUAACACGUGAGUAACCUGCCUCUGACUCUGGGAUAAGCCUUGGAAACGGGGUCUAAUACUGGAUACGAGACGCUCGGGCAUCCGAAGUGUCUGGAAAGAUUUAUCGGUCAGAGAUGGACUCGCGGCCUAUCAGCUUGUUGGG
This 226-nucleotide ribosomal RNA is filed under the name uncultured bacterium. RNAcentral describes it as "partial 16S ribosomal RNA". It matches the Rfam family "Bacterial small subunit ribosomal RNA", at positions 28 to 253 of the family's 1533-position model. The record is from RNAcentral.